AGCUCGCAGAGGCAGCGGCGGCGGCGGCGGAGACGGAGAGAGCUCGGAGAGCAGAGAAAGGCAGAGAGAGCGAGAAAUAGAGACAGGCAGGCAAACAGACAGACAGACAGAACGGGAGGGAGGAGGGCGGCGGAGGAGGAACAGGAGGACUACGCGGGGCGCGUUCCCUCCCAGCCGUGCGCCCGCGUCGCUGCCGCCGCGGGAAGACAGACGCCCCCCAAAGCCCCUCGCCUGGCUCGGACUCACGGAGCCAGCAGCCCAGCACUCCGAUGGGAGCUUGCCUGAUUGUCUACCCAUCAACCUGGACCCCAGAGCCUGCCCAGCUGAGUGUGUGCAGAGGGUCCCAGGUGAGGGGCGCUGCUCAGGCCUCUGCAGAGACCACCCUGGAGACACUGACAGAGAGAGGCCUUUCCUACUGAGCCUGGCCUCUCUGCACAGCCUGUUCAGAAAGAAGAACUGAGGCUCAUGGAUAUACACUAAGCCCCCCUCCCCCAAUCCUGCCACCUAGCCUGAGGACUCUUCCCUGCACCUUGAUAACCUGAGAGAACUGGGAGGAGAAAGGGGUUGUGACAAUGACCAGGACUCAGGGCAGAGGUGGAAACAAGUGUGCCUGAUGUAUGCAGCUGAUCCCCCAGGACAUCUCUCUACUGGAGUCUGGAAGCAGAGAGCUGGGAGGCCAAG
This 681-nucleotide long non-coding RNA is filed under the name Heterocephalus glaber (naked mole-rat). RNAcentral describes it as "lncRNA (ENSHGLG00100037261.1)". Lineage: Eukaryota; Metazoa; Chordata; Mammalia; Rodentia; Bathyergidae. The record is from RNAcentral.